Molecule: long non-coding RNA, 500 nt
Organism: Cyprinus carpio carpio
Lineage: Eukaryota; Metazoa; Chordata; Actinopteri; Cypriniformes; Cyprinidae
Source: Ensembl
GUUCGUUAAAAUACAAGGCAUGCAAAUGACAAAAAUGAUGCAAAAUUUGCUCAUAAAAUUAAAAAUAACCGACUUCCUGUUGGGUUUCGGAUAUUGCUCCAAGAGUCUUUUUUGUAGGUACUGAUGCUUUACAUAUGUGUGCCAAUUUUCGUGCAUGUACGUGAAACACAGCUCGAGGGCUGUUGAUUUUUUUACGGUAGGUGGCGCUGUCGAGCCAUUUUGCCACACUCUCUUCUGAAACCUAUAUCAGACGUAAAUUUUCACCAGGUCUGACGCGUGUGCAAAGUUUCAGGACUUUUCGAGCAUGUUUAGGCCCUCAAAAAUGCGAUUCAUUUUGGAGAAGAAGAAGAAGAAGAAGAAGAAUAAUAAUAAUUAAAGCUGCAAGCAGCGAUGAACGGGCCCUCGCACCCGGGCUCACCGCCAGCGGGUGGCUUUAGUAAAACAGCUAACGGCGAGAAAUAUGCGUUUAAUGUGGUAAAUAUAAGAGGAAUAUGUCAAAG